GAUGAACGCUGGCGGCGUGCCUAAUACAUGCAAGUCGAGCGAACAGACGAGGAGCUUGCUCCUCUGACGUUAGCGGCGGACGGGUGAGUAAAACGUGGAUAACCUACCUAUAAGACUGGGAUAACUUCGGGAAACCGGAGCUAAUACCGGAUAAUAUAUUGAACCGCAUGGUUCAAUAGUGAAAGACGGUUUUGCUGUCACUUAUAGAUGGAUCCGCGCCGCAUUAGCUAGUUGGUAAGGUAACGGCUUACCAAGGCGACGAUGCGUAGCCGACCAGAGAGGGUGAUCGGCCACACUGGAACUGAGACACGGUCCAGACUCCUACGGGAGGCAGCAGUAGGGAAUCUUCCGCAAUGGGCGAAAGCCUGACGGAGCAACGCCGCGUGAGUGAUGAAGGUCUUCGGAUCGUAAAACUCUGUUAUUAGGGAAGAACAAAUGUGUAAGUAACUAUACACGUCUUGACGGUACCUAAUCAGAAAGCCACGGCUAACUACGUG
This 497-nucleotide ribosomal RNA is filed under the name uncultured bacterium. Its description in RNAcentral is "partial 16S ribosomal RNA". It matches the Rfam family "Bacterial small subunit ribosomal RNA", at positions 28 to 507 of the family's 1533-position model. The record is from RNAcentral.